Molecule: ribosomal RNA, 301 nt
Filed under: uncultured bacterium
Lineage: Bacteria
Description: partial 16S ribosomal RNA
Rfam family: Bacterial small subunit ribosomal RNA
Source: RNAcentral
CAGUCGCCGCGGUAAUACGAGGGGGGCAAGCGUUGUUCGGAAUUAUUGGGCGUAAAGGGUGCGUAGGCGGUUUGGCAAGUUUGGUGUGAAAUCUUCGGGCUCAACUCGAAGUCUGCACCGAAAACUGCCGGGCUUGAGUAUGGGAGAGGUGAGUGGAAUUUCCGGUGUAGCGGUGAAAUGCGUAGAUAUAGGAAGGAACACCAGUGGCGAAGGCGACUACCUGGACUGAUACUGACACUGAGGUGCGAAAGCGUGGGGAGCAAACAGGAUUAGAUACCCCUGUAGUCCCUGUCUCUUAUAC